RNAcentral lists this microRNA (22 nucleotides) under Homo sapiens (human). RNAcentral describes it as "hsa-miR-5000-3p". Lineage: Eukaryota; Metazoa; Chordata; Mammalia; Primates; Hominidae. The record is from miRBase by way of RNAcentral.
UCAGGACACUUCUGAACUUGGA